AAGAGCCGGAUGCAUUGAAAGGUGCACGUCCGGUUCGGAGGGGGGGGUUUGGAAACCAACUGUGGUGACACAGUAAUGGCGCCAAGCUCCUACCCUAC
This 98-nucleotide non-coding RNA is filed under the name Seinonella peptonophila. Lineage: Bacteria; Bacillati; Bacillota; Bacilli; Caryophanales; Thermoactinomycetaceae. The record is from RNAcentral.